RNAcentral lists this long non-coding RNA (5830 nucleotides) under Linum usitatissimum (flax). Its description in RNAcentral is "long non-coding RNA (LUSI_LNC002632)". The record is from RNAcentral. Lineage: Eukaryota; Viridiplantae; Streptophyta; Magnoliopsida; Malpighiales; Linaceae.
GCCGCUGUUCUAUCUAUUGUUUCACCACUCAUUUGGCCCUUUCCGCCGGUCGGCCAUGGAAUAAAUUUUUGUAGUCUUAACCGAUUUUGAGAAGUGUGACUCAGUCUCGCUGGACCUCUUAAGUGAAUCGAUAUCCUAUUUUGUUAAGGCAAUUGUUCUUCCAAAAGUUUGAUUUCAGAUAUGCAGAAAACGUACUCAUCCAUUAGAAUUUAACAAAGUACAAGCCAACAAAAAAGACACCGAGAAUACUAUUUACAUAGAUACACUUCAUUGUCAACAAUUUGCAGAGUCUAAAAGCUUCAAACAGUCCGAGGAUGACACAAUUUGCAUCAGUAAGCCGCUUCACAUUUGAACCUGAUGAAGGACAAGAAGGACAUGGUGGAAAACACCGUCAAGACUGGCAAUUCAUAUGCAUAAUAAUCUGAGAGACAGCAGAAUCGAAUCAAAUUCAGAGAACUCUGACAAAAGAUGAAAACAACCAGAGCCGUGUCAGAAAAUAGAAGUCUCAGACAUCCAAGGAAGGAUAAAAGCAGCAUUGGCUCUCAAGCCCGGCGAAAGGCGAAAGCCCUUAGGCGGCCACUGCGAAUGUUUGAGAAACAAGCCUUUGGAUUUAUCAUCAUCGACGAACCGCAAACAUCAAACACAAGAAAUGCCCCCUUUCAACUUCUAGCAGAGAUUCAAAGGGAAAUUAGCUGAACAUCUGUCUUAAAAAGCUCGAUUUUUGUAUAUAAUCAUGUGAUUAACAUCAGCUGAAUAAUUGUAAUUCAUCAACUGCUCAGCGAAACAGCGGUUGGGAAAUAAUCAAAGGAGGUGUAUCAUCGUUUCUUGAACCUUUGAGCCACUGAUAAAAUAACACAGGUUCACCCAAUAACAAUGAACAUAGUGAUUUCCCUGGGGUUAACGAGAGAUCUGUUCACUAAGAUUGUAACAGAUCACUGCUUUUUGUCCACCAGGAUGAUGUUUAUAUAAAACGGAUAACAAAUAGGAUCAGAAGGCGGUCUCAGACAUCCAAGGAAGGAUAAAAACAGCACAAGCUCUCAAGCCCGGCGAAAGGCGAAAGCUCUUAGGCGGCCACUGCGAAUGUUUGAGAAACAAGCCUUUGGAUUUAUCAUCAUCGACUGAAGUAUAAACCUUGACCUGGAGACCCUUUCAAAUAUCUAAUGACCUUAUAUGCAGCCUUGAGAUGUGUAUCUGUUGGUUUAGCCUGAAACUGAGCCAGCUGCUGCACUGCAUAACAAAUGUCAGGUCGUGUAAUUGUGAUAUAGUGCAAUCUUCCAAUUAUCUGCCUGUAUUGAGUGAUGUCUUCCAGUGGAUUUCCCUCAUCUGCUUUCAGUUUUUCCUUAUAGUCAAGUGGGGUCUUUGUGGGUUUCCCAUCCAGUAGACCAGCUUCUGAGAUCAUCUCCAGGCAGUAUUUACGUUGACACAUGGAGAUUCCAUUCUUUGUUCUGGCAAUCUCAAGUCCUAGGAAGUAUUUCAAGGGCCCCAUGUCUUUCACCUUAAAGUGUUUCUGCAACUUUCCUUUGAUCUCUUCCAUCAGGGUGAGGUCAUUUCCAGCUAGGAUAAUAUCAUCUACAUAAACCAAUAAUACCAGCAUGGAAUUUCCUGAUGAGUAAUUGAAAAGUGAGUGAUCUGAGUCAGAUUGUUUAAAUCCUUCCUGCUUAAGCGCUUUGGUGAACUUGAUGAACCACAUUCUGCUUGCUUGCUUCAAACCAUACAAGGACUUUUGCAGCUUGCACACCUGUCUUCCAACUCCUUUGGUCUCAUAGCCCUUUGGUAUGUCCAUGUACACUUCCUCAUCCAAGUCUCCAUGAAGGAAUGCAUUGCUCACAUCCAUUUGGUGCAGAUGCCAAUCCUUCACGGCAGCUACAGCAAGCAGUGUUUUCACAGAAGUAAUCUUUGCCACUGGUGAGAACGUGUCUGUGAAAUCCACCCCAUACACUUGUGUGUACCCUUUUGCAACUAAGCGUGCCUUGUAUUUGUCUAUGCUUCCAUCUGGAUUAUACUUGAUCCGGUAUACCCACUUGCAUCCUACGGGCCUUACCCCUGACGGCUUAUCAGUAACUGUCCAUGUCCCAUUUGCCUCGAGAGCUUGCAUUUCCUCCAUCAUGGCUCUCCUCCAGUGGGGAGAUUUGACGGCUUCUUCAAAGGUUUGUGGCUCAGAUUCAAGAGAGAUGGACAAAGAAAAAACUCUGUGAGUUGGUGAAAGGAAAUCAUAACACAGAUACUUAUGCAUGGGAAAAGAUGAGUAUUCUUCAAUAAUAGGUUUUGUUGAACUGAGGAGAGAACAAUGGUAAUCUUCUAGAUAUUUUGGAGGUCUAGUGACUCGUGUUGGUCUUUUGCAGGGGAGAGUAGGAUUAAUGUAGGUAUGAGAUUGAGUAUGUUGAGGGGUAGGUGUGGAAUCUGUGUUGAUGGUCUUUGUUUGGGGAGUUUUUCUUGUGUUUGAAGGUGAUCUGGAAUCUGUAGUGAUGGUGAUGUCUGGUUGAGGAUGGUCACUUGAAUUUGCGGGAGGAAUAUUCAUAUCAACAUCAUCAGGAGGGGAGAGUGAGUCAAGGGUAAUGGGAAUUAUGGACUGGUCUGUAUUGGUGGUAGUUGUUGGGGAUAGAUCAGGCUCUCUAUAGGGAAGGAUCAUUUCAUGAAACACAACAUUCCUGGAAACAAUGACCUUUUGGUUAGCUAAGUCUAAUAGCUUGUAACCUUUUAUCCCAUUCUGGAAACCUAUGAACACACAGGGAGUGGAUCUGGGAGCAAAUUUGGUGCGGUUGUGGGACAAGGUGCUAGCAUAUGAUAGACAGCCAAAGAUACGUAAGUGAUCAUAAGACGGUUUGACAUUAUAUAGAGUUUCAUAUGGGGAAAGGUUAUUAAGAACAGGAGUUGGAAGUCUGUUGAUUAAGUAACAGGCAUGUAAGACACAGUCCCCCCAGAAUCUGAGAGACAAACCACUUUGGAAUCGUAGGGAACGAGCAACAGCUAAGAGAUGCUGAUGUUUGCGUUCAACUCGUCCAUUUUGGGGAGCGAUGGAAACACAACUUUGCUGAUGAAUAAUGCCAUGUGUAGCAAAGAAAGAGUCCAUUUUAAACUCUGCACCCUGAUCAGAUCGAAUGAUCUUAACAGAAACUGAGAAUUGAGUAGAUACCAUAGAACAAAAGGAUUUAACAAUCUCUCGAGUUUCACUUUUAUGUUUCAUGAGAAAUAUCCACACACAACGACUGAAAUCAUCAAGGAUAGUAAGAAAAUAACUAUGACCAUCAUGAGUAGGAGUAUGUAAUGGUCCCCAAAUAUCCAUAUGGACUAAUGAAAAAGGAGAAUCAGCUCUGGAAUGGCUCUUGUUAAAGGGAAGGGUUUUUUGUUUAGCAAGGUGGCAAGUAAUGCAGUGAGAAGAUGAAGGAAGGGUGAUGGAAGGUUGAGCCUGGUGGAUGAGUUGAAGUCUCCCUAGGGAUGGAUGCCCUAGUCUGCAAUGCCAAACAUCCAAAGAAUGAGGGUGAAGGUUAAAGACAGCUGCAGCAGCAAUGUUAGAAGAAAUGAGGGAAACAAAGGCAGUAGUGUGGAUGGCGGGUAAAAGGUAUAAACCUCUACUUUCUUGGGCUAAACCAAUCGUCUUCUGUGAGGGAAGGGCCUGAAUAUGACACUGAUGUGAUGAAAAAGCAACAGAAACAGGUGAUUGUUGCGUGAGGCAGCUAACAGAAAGAAGGUUGAAAGAAAAACAGGGAAUGUAUAACACAUUAUGCAAAGACAGGCCACAUGGCAAUAUUACCAACCCAGAAUGAGUAGCAAGAACACUUUUGCCAGUAGGUAAGGUGACAGGAAUGGGAGAAAUGACAUUCAGAUGAGAGAAUAGGUGAGAUGAACAGGCAAUAUGACUACUAGCUCCUGUAUCCACUAUCCAGUAACUAGAAAGGGGUUGAGAUGUAAGAGUGGAAAGGGAGUAGGUACCUGAUGAUGUAGAUGAUGCAGGAAUGGUGGUGGUGAUUAGGUUGGCAUAAGUGGCUUGGGAUUGAGGCUGUGGCAUGGCUGUUUGCUGGAGGAGUAUUCGAAGUCGUGCAAGCUCUGAGGAGGACAAGGACAUGGACGUAUCUGAUGAACUUUCAGAAGCAGAACGAUAGUCUGGAGUUGAGUAACCAUGGGAAGACUGACAGUCAUUAUCAAGGCUAUGGUGAACAUCACCAGAAGCAGCACCAGCAAAUCGAUUGAAACCAUUUCCACCACCAUUACUCGCUUCACGAGCCUUUUUGUUCUUUAAUUUCAUACAUGUUUCAAUGUUAUGAUUGUCCUUCUUACAAUAUCUACAAAAUAGAGGCUGUUUUUCACCAGAAUCUCUAUUUCUUCCAUUUCCAGCAUAGUUAGUUGCAGCAAGAGCAAUAGAAUCUACAGAUCUAACCACAUUUCCUUUCAUCUGACGUUCCAUCUGAACAGCGAAUUUGAAUGCAGUAUUAAUGUCAGGCAAAGGAUCCAUUAACAGCAACUGAGAUCGUACUACAUCAUAGCUUUCAUUCAAUCCUCGAAUGAAACGGAUCACAUGAUCUUGCUCUUGAUACAGCAGCAUUUUAGAGAUGACUUUGCAAGUCGAAACUCGAUUAGGAUUGCAUUCACACAGAGGAAUUGGUCUAUAUUGAACGUAUUCCUCCCAUAGAACCUUAAGAUUGGUGAAAUACUGAGUAAUCGUUGUCUGACCUUGAUCACAGGAUGCAAUCCGUGAUUGCAAAUCAGCGAUUCGGAUUGCGUCGCACUGGCGGAAUCGUUGAUUGAGAUCGUUCCAAGCAGCUGCUGCAUUAUCAUAAGAAAUAAGACUCUGCGCGAUGUCUUCUGACACAGAGUUCAGAAUCCAGUUCAGAACUGCGAAGUUGCAUCGGAUCCAAGCUUGAUAUGAGGCAUCCUGAACUUCUGGAGCUGGAUAUGAUCCAUCAAUGAAGCUUAGCUUGUUUUUGAUACUCAGGGCUACAUUCAUGGAUCUGCUCCACACAUGAAAGUUAUCAUUUGUCAACUUUACUCCGACGAUCGGAGAUGAGAGAUUAUCGCUGGGAGACAAGAACAACGGAUUCGCGAAGUGAUCGGUGUAGUUUGAAGGAUGAGCAGAACUGAGUGUAGAAAGGAUUGAUGAUGAUUGUGUUGAUGAAGUCAUGACGAAAUCAGCUCAACAAUGGAGGCUCUGAUACCAUGUGAAGUUUGAUGAAUGGAAGAGAAGAGAAGAACAGAGAAAGCGAAGAAGAAGGAGAAGCUGUAAUGGAAAGUCGUUUUCUGUUAUUACUGUACUGAAUGAAUUAAAUGUACAAACAGAAAGGAGAAUUCUAUUUAUACCACUACUACUAUUAUCUAUUACAACUCACUCACAUACUUAUAAUUUAACACCAUUUAACAUAGGCGGCCACUGCGAAUGUUCUUGAGAAACAAGCCUUAAGAGUUGUAUCAUCAUUGACCGAGUUUCAAAACUUAAUUGAAAUCUGGCGAAGUCAGACAAUAUUAUGCCUCAAAAUGGUGAGUUCAACACGGAUAAAGAAACCUUUUAUCCGUUCACACAUCUAAUUGAAUCAUCACUCUUCGCCAACAGAUUAUUUGAAACGCAACAAGAACUGAAGCGAACCAGAUACAAAGUAAAGAGGGAAAACACAUCGCCGUAAGCUUACUGCGUAAAGAAGAAAGGAAAGCCAGGCAUUGAAAUUCUUAAGAGAUACCACGCCUGGAAGAGAUUGCGAACUAGCGCAUCUAUGAUUCAUAACAUCGGAACUGUGGAGCACGACAUUGAGUUCUGCGCUUAACCUGUUUAUAAAGAAGAAAACGCAUGAAAUCUCUAGAAUCCACAAGCCGCAGCAAAUGAAUUGAGAAGCCUAAAACCCUA